RNAcentral lists this long non-coding RNA (1876 nucleotides) under Nicotiana tabacum (common tobacco). RNAcentral's name for it is "long non-coding RNA (NTAB_LNC007895)". The record is from RNAcentral. Lineage: Eukaryota; Viridiplantae; Streptophyta; Magnoliopsida; Solanales; Solanaceae.
CCCCCUCUCUCAUCUCUCUCACACCCUUCAGAGAAAACCUCUGCAAAACCCUAGCCUCCACCAUUCCCACCACCCAGAAACCCGGCGGCGCCACCUCCUUUCACCCUCAAAAUCACACCAGACAACCACCUCCCUCUCCUCAUCUCGAAUCCCCACCCCGUUUUCUUCAAAUCCCCCUGGAGUUUCUCAAAUUUUAGAUCAAAGACUUAGACACUAAGUCUCCAAAUCAUAAAUCAGUGGUCGUGUUGAAGAUUUGAAGUUGGAAGGGGUUUUAUGCAUGUAUUUUCAUUUGAGAACACAUGAUUAAAACCCAUUCCGGUCAAAAUCGGAGGGUACCGAAGGUCUAUUCAAGCCAACCAUCCGCUUAUCUAUAUUGGGUAUUUCUUUCUUUUUCAUCUCGUUUCUUUAUUUUUGUUUUCUUUUCCUCGUCUCCUUUAUUCUCUUUCUCAUUCUUCUUGUUUUUUAUUUCAUUCGACCAGUUAGUGAAAUUAGGUAGCAUGAACUUGUUAGUAAUUUUGUUUAAUUAUGUCAGAUGAACUUAGGGUCAAUUGUCCAUGCAUGAUAUUGUUUAUCAGUAUUGUUAUCUUGUUGUUAUUAAUUAGUAUAGUUUCAUUUUCUUGGUUUGUAUUAAGGCUGCCUAGAUUUCUCUUUUGGGAAAUUUUAGGUUAAUUUUUAAAACUGGUAAACCAUGUCAAAGUUAUUUGGGCUCAAAAAGAUUGAAUAGCCCGGAAAUGAACUGAAUUGGGUUUCUCUGGACCCAUUAACUUGGGUCAAAUUGGACCCAGAUUCUGUUUGGCUUUAACAGUAAUAUGCAGGUGUGUGAGAGGGUAAUUUAGAUAUUUUAGUCUGAGGAAUAUGAGUAUAAUUGUCUAGGAAGCUUCCUAGAAGCCAAAAACAACCUUACUUGGCAAAUAAAUCAAAAAUGCAAGGAUAUAAGUAGCAAAAAUCAAAAUUCAAAAAGGGCUAAAAUGCAAAUCUGAUCCCUCUAUUGUUGCCCUAUUUCCAUGCCUAUAAAGGCACAUUUCCUCGCUUUUGAAGGCAAGGUUGAAGAGAUAAAAAAACUGAAAAAUCACAAACGGCUAAAGAUUUGAGAAAAAUAUUGUUCCAUUGAAUUUUCUGCUUUGAAUUUUGAAGUUUUUCCAUUACUGAAACAAUUUCUGAUUCUCUUUGCGGUUGAAAUGGAUUGAGCUUGGGUAUUGAAAGAGCUGGUUUAGGUUUGUUGAUUGGUUUACUGUUCUAUUGAAUUUUCUGAGUGGAUUUUACUGUUUCAUUGUUGAGUUGAUGAAUCUGGACUAGCUGCUACUGCCUGUUGCUGAUAUUUUCAUUUUUUGUUAUUUUUGCUUUCCAGGUAUAUCUCUGGCCCUUGUUGACUGUGUAAUUCGAGUAAAACUUGAUGGAAUACAAGUUGUGUUCAAUUUAGUGUUCUCUCUUUUCCUACUAUUUCAAUUAUGUAGUAACUAUGUAACGAUAAGUGUUACAUGAGUUUGAUGUUUUCACAUUAUAAAUCUAGCUCGCUUACUGUUUGGAAUUGAGAAGGAUGUAAUUAGUUUGAAGUUUUAUGUUGUGUAUAAAAUCUAGCUUAGGUUAAAGUCCUUUUAUGAACUGUUUACCAUCAUGAAAUUAAACGUGUGUUUUCAGUAGUAUUCAAGAUCUCUUGGUGUGUUAGACAAUGAAUAAUACUGAGAUUUGCCAAUCUUGGUUUGAUUGUAUAGGGGUCACUUUGCCUUACAGGGUCCAGGCUCCUUAAGCUUGGAGUUCUGAGGUCAAUUUGCAAAGGGGGUUUGGGCCUGUCCCACAAGUCCCCAUAGUUACUGAGUUUGGUUGCUUGAUUAGUCAUGUAUCAUGUUUGUCCUGAAGUCGCAAAAAUUGAAAUUAG